GAUGAACGCUGGCGGCGUGCCUAAUACAUGCAAGUCGAGCGAACAGACGAGGAGCUUGCUCCUCUGACGUUAGCGGCGGACGGGUGAGUAACACGUGGAUAACCUACCUAUAAGACUGGGAUAACUUCGGGAAACCGGAGCUAAUACCGGAUAAUAUAUUGAACCGCAUGGUUCAAUAGUGAAAGACGGUUUUGCUGUCACUUAUAGAUGGAUCCGCGCCGCAUUAGCUAGUUGGUAAGGUAACGGCUUACCAAGGCGACGAUGCGUAGCCGACCUGAGAGGGGGAUCGGCCCAACCGGAAAGGAGACACGGGCCCGACUCCCAAGGGAGGGAAGAGGAGGGAAUCUUCCGGAAUGGGGGAAAACCUGACGGGGCAACGCCGCGGGAGGGAAGAAGGUUCUCGGAUCGGAAAACUCUUUUUUUAGGGAAAAAAAAAAGGGUAAAGAAAUAUGCACGGCUUUAAGGUACCUAAUCAGAAAGCCACGGCUAAACAAGGG
This 497-nucleotide ribosomal RNA is filed under the name uncultured bacterium. Its description in RNAcentral is "partial 16S ribosomal RNA". It matches the Rfam family "Bacterial small subunit ribosomal RNA", at positions 28 to 507 of the family's 1533-position model. The record is from RNAcentral.